GUGUCUUUAUUUUAUUGUAAAAUUCUAUUAUCUUUUAUAUUUGAAUUCUUUAAAUAUGAAUUAAAUAAAUCCUAAUAAAUAAUAAUUAAAUGAGAUUUGUUAUGUAUAUUGCAUACUAGUACAUUUAAAAAAGUUUGUGGACUGGCCAUUGUACAUACUGACACUGUACAGUGAAUCAUAAUAUAUAUGAUAAUGUCAUAGGCCAUAUGUGUUGAACACUGUAUAGCCAAUAGAAUGUCAUUAGACUUGCAGUUGUGUGACAAUGAAAGCUAGACUUGCAGUUUAUUUGAGUCUGUGCACAGAGUAUAGUUGCAGAAGUUUUUUUAUACCAUCCCUGAAGCAUCUAGGCCACUAAAAUAGAGCACUAUGCUCCAUGAUAUAUUCCCCUUCAUUAGUUUUGAAGCAUUUCCAAUGUUUCUUAUGCAAUUUUGCCUAAUUUCUGGCAAAAUUUUAUGCUGGUGUAUUGUUCAGAUUGGGACAUUUUUCUGUCUGCCACAGCUCUGUGCACUGACUCAUGUAAACUGCUUCCUCUGCCAAACAACUGCAAGUCUGAUGAUGUCCUGUUGGUUGUAUUAGUGUCAAUACUUGUGGCCUGAUGACAGUAUCAUGUUAUACAUUGGAAUUCAUUGUAAAGUGUGAUUGCAUGAUGGCCAAUUCACAAACUUUUUGAUUGCAUUGCCAUAUGUUGGGUAUUAGAUAAUUAAAUUUAAGAAAAUUAAUUUUUUAAUUCUUUUAAUUUGUCAGUUAUAUAUACAUGAAAUCUAAUGAUACAUACAUAUCAUUUUUUAUAAAUAUUUACAUGAAUACAUAAACUUAAUAUCACACUCAAUUUGCUUUAUUAUAUUUUUAACUGAAGAACUGC
RNAcentral lists this long non-coding RNA (862 nucleotides) under Androctonus crassicauda. The record is from RNAcentral. Lineage: Eukaryota; Metazoa; Arthropoda; Arachnida; Scorpiones; Buthidae.